AACGCACCUUGCACCCUUUGGCAUUCCGAAGGGUAUGCUCGUUUGAGUGUCAUUGUACUCUCACACUUUCAAUCCUUUGGGUUGGAAGCGGUGGACUUGGGUGUUGCUGCUUUACUGCGGCUCAUCUUAAAUGCAUUAGUGCAACUCUAGGUUGGGCAUAGUACGGCGUGAUAUGUAUCUUCGCCGGCACCUCGCAAGAGGGUGGCUGAUCAGGAGCUCUGUGCUUCAAACUGUCUUUGGACAAUAACUGACAACUUGACCUCAAAUCGAGUAGGACUACCCGCUGAACUUAA
RNAcentral lists this unclassified non-coding RNA (293 nucleotides) under uncultured Sebacinales. RNAcentral describes it as "sequence contains 5.8S rRNA gene, ITS2, 28S rRNA gene". Lineage: Eukaryota; Fungi; Basidiomycota; Agaricomycetes; Sebacinales. The record is from RNAcentral.